GACGAACGCUGGCGGCGUGCCUAAUACAUGCAAGUCGAACGCUGAAGGAGGAGCUUGCUUCUCUGGAUGAGUUGCGAACGGGUGAGUAACGCGUAGGUAACCUGCCUGGUAGCGGGGGAUAACUAUUGGAAACGAUAGCUAAUACCGCAUAAUAGCAGUUGUUGCAUGACAACUGUUUGAAAGGUGCAAUUGCACCACUACCAGAUGGACCUGCGUUGUAUUAGCUAGUUGGUGGGGUAACGGCUCACCAAGGCGACGAUACAUAGCCGACCUGAGAGGGUGGUCGGCCCCACUGGGACUGAGACAAGGCCCAGGAUCCUACGGGGAGCAGCAGUAGGGGAUCUUCGGACAUGGACGGAAGUCUGACCGAGCAACGCCGCGUGAGUGAAGAAGGUUUUCGGGUCGUAAAGCUCUGUUGUAAGGGAAGAACGAGUGUGAGAGUGGAAAGUUCACACUGUGACGGUAGCUUACCAGAAAGGGAUGGCUAACUACGUG
This 495-nucleotide ribosomal RNA is filed under the name uncultured bacterium. RNAcentral's name for it is "partial 16S ribosomal RNA". It matches the Rfam family "Bacterial small subunit ribosomal RNA", at positions 28 to 507 of the family's 1533-position model. The record is from RNAcentral.